Molecule: small nucleolar RNA, 66 nt
Organism: Mirounga angustirostris (Northern elephant seal)
Lineage: Eukaryota; Metazoa; Chordata; Mammalia; Carnivora; Phocidae
Product: small nucleolar RNA SNORD49
Exons: 1
Source: RefSeq, a predicted model, not a curated record
UGUGCUGAUGAUGCUGGGAUUGGGAAGUGCGGUCAGAAGCGAUAACUGACGACUUUGUCGCCGAAG